RNAcentral lists this transfer RNA (79 nucleotides) under Burkholderia gladioli. RNAcentral's name for it is "tRNA-Ala(ggc)". The record is from RNAcentral. RNAcentral also lists the same sequence under 1 other name. Lineage: Bacteria; Pseudomonadati; Pseudomonadota; Betaproteobacteria; Burkholderiales; Burkholderiaceae.
CGGCGGCGAUUCGGCGGGCGGCGGCCUGGCGCUGGCGCUGCUGGUGGCGCUGCGCGAUCGCGGCGCGCCGCUGCCGGCC